This 465-nucleotide ribosomal RNA is filed under the name uncultured bacterium. RNAcentral describes it as "partial 16S ribosomal RNA". It matches the Rfam family "Bacterial small subunit ribosomal RNA", at positions 339 to 795 of the family's 1533-position model. The record is from RNAcentral.
CUACGGGAUGCUGCAGUGGGGAAUAUUGCGCAAUGGGCGAAAGCCUGACGCAGCAACGCCGUGUGAGGGAUGAAGGCUUUCGGGUCGUAAACCUCUGUCGGAAGGGAAGAACGGGCAUUGGUCUAAUAGGCCUUUGUUUUGACGGUACCUUUAGAGGAAGCACCGGCUAACUCCGUGCCAGCAGCCGCGGUAAUACGGAGGGUGCAAGCGUUAUUCGGAAUUACUGGGCGUAAAGCGCACGUAGGCCGUUUUGUAAGUCAGGUGUGAAAUCCCACGGCUCAACCGUGGAACUGCCUUUGAAACUGCCGAACUUGAAUGCUGGAGAGGGUGGCGGAAUUCCUGGUGUAGGAGUGAAAUCCGUAGAUAUCAGGGGGAACACCGGUGGCGAAGGCGGCCACCUGGACAGGUAUUGACGCUGAGGUGCGAAAGUGUGGGGAGCAAACAGGAUUAGAUACCCUUGUAGUC